UAUAACAAUGAUGUCCUUUACAUAUGUUAGACUCAUGAAAAAUAUUUGAUUGAAAAAUUAGUUGCUGAGUUACA
Molecule: small nucleolar RNA, 74 nt
Organism: Drosophila busckii
Lineage: Eukaryota; Metazoa; Arthropoda; Insecta; Diptera; Drosophilidae
Rfam family: Small nucleolar RNA Me28S-Cm788
About the family: Me28S-Cm788 is a member of the C/D class of snoRNA which contain the C (UGAUGA) and D (CUGA) box motifs. This family directs 2'-O-methylation of 28S C-788.
Source: Rfam